AACGAACGCUGGCGGCAUGCCUAACACAUGCAAGUCGAACGAGACCUUCGGGUCUAGUGGCGCACGGGUGCGUAACGCGUGGGAACCUGCCCUUAGGUUCGGAAUAACUCCCCGAAAGGGGUGCUAAUACCGGAUAAUGUCUUCGGACCAAAGAUUUAUCGCAUUUGGAUGGGCCCGCGUUGGAUUAGCUAGUUGUUAGGGUAAUAGCCUACCAAGGCGACGAUCCAUAGCUGGUCUGAGAGGAUGAUCAGCCACACUGGGACUGAGACACGGCCCAGACUCCUACGGGAGGCAGCAGUGGGGAAUAUUGGACAAUGGGCGAAAGCCUGAUCCAGCAAUGCCGCGUGAGUGAUGAAGGCCUUAGGGUUGUAAAGCGCUUUUACCCGGGAUGAUAAUGACAGUACCGGGAGAAUAAGCUCCGGCUAACUCCGUG
This 433-nucleotide ribosomal RNA is filed under the name uncultured bacterium. RNAcentral's name for it is "partial 16S ribosomal RNA". It matches the Rfam family "Bacterial small subunit ribosomal RNA", at positions 29 to 507 of the family's 1533-position model. The record is from RNAcentral.